GGACUACACGGGUAUCUAAUCCUGUUUGCUCCCCACGCUUUCGCCCAUCAGCGUCAGUACUGGCCCAGAGUGCCGCCUUCGCCACCGGUGUUCCUCCUGAUAUCUGCGCAUUUCACCGCUACACCAGGAAUUCCGCACUCCCCUACCAGACUCAAGCCAUGACAGUAUCGGGUGGCGUCCCCAGGUUGAGCCUGGAAAUUUCACACCCGACUUAUCAAGCCGCCUACGGGCCCUUUACGCCCAAUAAAUCCGGACAACGCUCGCACCCUACGUGUUACCGCGGCGGCUGGCAC
RNAcentral lists this ribosomal RNA (293 nucleotides) under uncultured bacterium. Its description in RNAcentral is "partial 16S ribosomal RNA". The record is from RNAcentral.